CGAAGCGGGUUUUCAGUUAGCAAUACAAUUUUUGGCUGUGCGUGUGUGUGUUGCUCUCAGUGUGUAGGUGUGUGUGUGUGUUUGUAACGGUUGUGAAAGUCCCUCCGCCCGACCCGUCCAUACAAUGGCAAUUAAACUAAAAGCCUCAUUGGCCACAUGCAAAAAUUGGUAACUAAACGUAAAACCGCUUAAAAGUUAUAAACUGA
This is a long non-coding RNA of Drosophila innubila, 206 nucleotides long. RefSeq lists it as uncharacterized. The transcript has 2 exons. The record is from RefSeq and is a predicted model, not a curated record. NCBI's taxonomy places the organism in Eukaryota, Metazoa, Arthropoda, Insecta, Diptera, Drosophilidae.